RNAcentral lists this long non-coding RNA (377 nucleotides) under Setaria viridis. RNAcentral's name for it is "long non-coding RNA (SVIR_LNC004012)". Lineage: Eukaryota; Viridiplantae; Streptophyta; Magnoliopsida; Poales; Poaceae. The record is from RNAcentral.
GGAAGUUUCACUAGAUCAACCAUAGUUGCACAUCUAUAUAGCUUGAUCUAGUUUAUAUUUUGAAGCAAAUAGUGGAAGCUAUAUGUUAAGAUUUUUAAAUUUGCCUAGUUCAUCCUCUUCCCUUGUUAGACUACGAGCUUGCAGUUCGUAAACUUCACAGCCAAAAACUGUGGCGUGACCUUUGCCGCCAAAAUUUCCUCGAUAGGAGGAUCUCAGCCGAGAUUUGGGCAAAGAGGCUUGAUCCAGCAGACUGAAGCUGAUCCGUUUCAACUAAGGCAUGCUAUAGGCACCAUCUAAGAAGGAUGGAAUCAUGCUACCAUACUACGUCGUAUUAGAACGUUCUUCCGUACCGGCUAAACGUUGGCAGUGGGCCGGCC